AACGAACGCUGGCGGCAUGCCUAACACAUGCGAGUCGAACGAGACCUUCGGGUCUAGUGGCGCACGGGUGCGUAACGCGUGGGAACCUGCCCUUAGGUUCGGAAUAACUCCCCGAAAGGGGUGCUAAUACCGGAUAAUGUCUUCGGACCAAAGAUUGAUCGCCUUUGGAUGGGCCCGCGUUGGAUUAGCUAGUUGGUAGGGUAAACGCCUACCAAGGCGACGAUCCAUAGCUGGUCUGAGAGGAUGAUCAGCCACACUGGGACUGAGACACGGCCCAGACUCCUACGGGAGGCAGCAGUGGGGAAUAUUGGACAAUGGGCGAAAGCCUGAUCCAGCAAUGCCGCGUGAGUGAUGAAGGCCUUAGGGUUGUAAAGCACUUUUACCCGGGAUGAUAAUGACAGUACCGGGAGAAUAAGCACCGGCUAACUCCGUG
Molecule: ribosomal RNA, 433 nt
Filed under: uncultured bacterium
Lineage: Bacteria
Description: partial 16S ribosomal RNA
Rfam family: Bacterial small subunit ribosomal RNA
Source: RNAcentral